Molecule: non-coding RNA, 29 nt
Filed under: Mus musculus (house mouse)
Lineage: Eukaryota; Metazoa; Chordata; Mammalia; Rodentia; Muridae
Source: RNAcentral
UCCCACAUGAGUUAUCAAGGAAAUGCUCA